UACGUAGGGUGCGAGCGUUGUCCGGAAUUAUUGGGCGUAAAGAGCUUGUAGGCGGUUUGUCGCGUCUGCCGUGAAAAUCCGAGGCUCCAACCGUCGGACUUGCGGUGGGUACGGGCAGACUAGAGUGUGGUAGGGGAGACUGGAAUUCCUGGUGUAGCGGUGAAAUGCGCAGAUAUCAGGAGGAACACCGAUGGCGAAGGCAGGUCUCUGGGCCACUACUGACGCUGAGAAGCGAAAGCAUGGGGAGCGAACAGG
This 255-nucleotide ribosomal RNA is filed under the name uncultured bacterium. RNAcentral describes it as "partial 16S ribosomal RNA". It matches the Rfam family "Bacterial small subunit ribosomal RNA", at positions 524 to 776 of the family's 1533-position model. The record is from RNAcentral.